RNAcentral lists this ribosomal RNA (443 nucleotides) under uncultured bacterium. Its description in RNAcentral is "partial 16S ribosomal RNA". It matches the Rfam family "Bacterial small subunit ribosomal RNA", at positions 338 to 795 of the family's 1533-position model. The record is from RNAcentral.
CCUACGGGAGGCAGCAGUGGGGAAUAUUGGGCAAUGGGCGCAAGCCUGACCCAGCAACGCCGCGUGAAGGAAGAAGGCUUUCGGGUUGUAAACUUCUUUUCUCAGGGACGAAGAAAGUGACGGUACCUGAGGAAUAAGCCACGGCUAACUACGUGCCAGCAGCCGCGGUAAUACGUAGGUGGCAAGCGUUAUCCGGAUUUAUUGGGUGUAAAGGGCGUGUAGGCGGGAGCGCAAGUCAGCUGUGAAACCUCAGGGCUUAACCCUGAGCCUGCAGUUGAAACUGUGUUUCUUGAGUGCUGGAGAGGCAAGCGGAAUUCCGGGUGUAGCGGUGGAAUGCGUAGAGAUAAGGAGGAACACCAGUGGCGAAGGCGGAUUGCUGGACAGUAACUGACGCUGAGGCGCGAAAGCGUGGGGAGCAAACAGGAUUAGAUACCCCAGUAGUC